This 478-nucleotide small RNA is filed under the name Histoplasma capsulatum. Its description in RNAcentral is "hypothetical RNA". Lineage: Eukaryota; Fungi; Ascomycota; Eurotiomycetes; Onygenales; Ajellomycetaceae. RNAcentral also lists the same sequence under 1 other name. The record is from RNAcentral.
UCUUCUUUGAUUCUAGAUAUCUCAUUAUAGACAGUAUUUUCAACAUCUUUAUUUUUAUCAUUCUCUGAUAGACUGUAUGCCUUUUGCAGCUACUGUCACUGUCAGACUAUAUUGUCUGUUUGUAUUAUAGAAAUCUUCUUUCUUUCAUUUCAUUAUAUUUCUUAAACUUCUCUUUUUUCUUUAUAUUAUAUCUCUAGAUCUUUCACUCUCUCAAUCUUAGAUUCUCUCAAUCUUUUAAUCUCUUAAUCUUCCACUCAAUCUUUUGACAUUUCAUUCUCUCAAUCAUUCAGCUGACUAUUUUAUAGUUUCAUGCCUGUUAUCUACUUUAUCUAUCUUUUACUUAUUCUUUAUAUCUUCAUCUUCAUCUUUCAUUCUCAUCUGCUAAUUAUAUCAUUCUUAGAUUGACUUAAUUACUGAGCUCAAACUCAUCUGUAAUCUCUUCUUAAUUUCUCUUCUUGAUCUUCAGUUGAUCCUCAGC